RNAcentral lists this ribosomal RNA (206 nucleotides) under uncultured bacterium. Its description in RNAcentral is "partial 16S ribosomal RNA". It matches the Rfam family "Bacterial small subunit ribosomal RNA", at positions 568 to 774 of the family's 1533-position model. The record is from RNAcentral.
CAUGUAGGCGGCCUAUUAAGUCGGGCGUGAAAAUGCGGGGCUCAACCCCGUAUGGCGCCCGAUACUGGUGGGCUUGAGUGCAGGAGAGGAAAGGGGAAUUCCCAGUGUAGCGGUGAAAUGCAUAGAUAUUGGGAGGAACACCAGUGGCGAAGGCGCCUUUCUGGACUGUGUCUGACGCUGAGAUGCGAAAGCCAGGGGAGCGAACG